AUAAACAUUUUAACCCAUUUGUUUUCUGUCGUAUAUUCUCACGUGAUCAAAUAAAUCAAUAGAGUGAUGGUGCUAAAUGGUAUAAUGGAGCCAUUGGCAAGCACGAAGCACGAAGCAUCACCCUUAAGCAUAUCCCGAAAACGACCAAAAAGGAGAAGGAACAGAAAGGGGAGAGAGAACAAGUUCCAGUCACUAUCCCGACAUACAUAAUCAACCAAAUCUCACAUAUUAAAACAACGUGUGAAUAUAUAUAUAUAUAUAUAUAUAUAUAUAUAUAUUCAACCAUGCACUCGUAUUUGCGCGUAUAUACGUGUCCUCAUGUAUAAUAGCAUGGCUUUUUGAAUUUGUGUAUACAAAAAAAUAUAAAGAUAAUUACAUAAUUCUAUUACA
This is a long non-coding RNA of Tarenaya hassleriana, 390 nucleotides long. RefSeq lists it as uncharacterized. The transcript is spliced from 2 exons. The record is from RefSeq and is a predicted model, not a curated record. NCBI's taxonomy places the organism in Eukaryota, Viridiplantae, Streptophyta, Magnoliopsida, Brassicales, Cleomaceae.